Molecule: ribosomal RNA, 254 nt
Filed under: uncultured bacterium
Lineage: Bacteria
Description: partial 16S ribosomal RNA
Rfam family: Bacterial small subunit ribosomal RNA
Source: RNAcentral
UACGAAGGGGGGCUAGCGUUGCUCGGAUUGACUGGGCGUAAAGGGCGCGUAGGCGGUUUGUACAGUCAGACGUGAAAUUCCUGGGCUCAACCUGGGGGCUGCGUUUGAUACGUGCAGACUUGAGUUCGGAAGAGGGUCGUGGAAUUCCCAGUGUAGAGGUGAAAUUCGUAGAUAUUGGGAAGAACACCGGUGGCGAAGGCGGCGACCUGGUCCGAUACUGACGCUGAGGCGCGAAAGCGUGGGGAGCAAACAGG